AUCCAGCUGACGAAUCCCAAAUAGGACGAAACCCGCAUCCUGGAU
This 45-nucleotide non-coding RNA is filed under the name Schistosoma mansoni. Lineage: Eukaryota; Metazoa; Platyhelminthes; Trematoda; Strigeidida; Schistosomatidae. The record is from RNAcentral.